This 640-nucleotide ribosomal RNA is filed under the name uncultured bacterium. RNAcentral describes it as "bacterial SSU rRNA". It matches the Rfam family "Bacterial small subunit ribosomal RNA", at positions 232 to 885 of the family's 1533-position model. The record is from RNAcentral.
CGCGGCCUAUCAGCUUGUUGGUGAGGUAACGGCUCACCAAGGCGAUUACGGGUAGCUGGUCUGAGAGGACGAUCAGCCACACUGGAACUGAGAUACGGUCCAGACUCCUACGGGAGGCAGCAGGAGGGAAUCUUGCGCAAUGGGCGAAAGCCUGACGCAGCGACGCCGCGUGGGGGAUGAAUGCCUUAGGGUUGUAAACCCCCUUCACGAGGGAAGAAACUGACGGUACCUCGAGAAGAAGCCCCGGCCAACUACGUGCCAGCAGCCGCGGUAAUACGUAGGGGGCGAGCGUUGUCCGGAUUUAUUGGGCGUAAAGGGCUCGUAGGUGGCUUGGCAAGUCGGCCGUGAAAACCCAGGGCUCAACUCUGGGACGCCGGUCGAUACUGCCAUGGCUAGGGUCCGGUAGAGGGGAAUGGAAUUCCCGGUGUAGCGGUGAAAUGCGCAGAUAUCGGGAGGAACACCAGUAGCGAAGGCGGUUCCCUGGGCCGGCACCGACGCUGAGGAGCGAAAGCGUGGGGAGCAAACGGGAUUAGAUACCCUGGUAGUCCACGCCGUAAACGUUGGGUACUAGGCGUGGCGUCUUAUCAACGGAUGCCGUGCUCGAAGCUAACGCGUUAAGUACCCCGCCUGGGGAGUACGG